UCCUACGGGGGGCAGCAGUGGGGAAUAUUGCACAAUGGGGGAAACCCUGAUGCAGCGACGCCGCGUGAGCGAAGAAGUACCUCGGUAUGUAAAGCUCUAUCAGCAGGGAAGAAGAUGACGGUACCUGACCAAGAAGCUCCGGCUAAAUACGUGCCAGCAGCCGCGGUAAUACGUAUGGAGUAAGCGUUAUCCGGAUUUACUGGGUGUAAAGGGAGCGCAGGCGGCCUUGCAAGUCUGAUGUGAAA
RNAcentral lists this ribosomal RNA (245 nucleotides) under uncultured bacterium. RNAcentral describes it as "partial 16S ribosomal RNA". It matches the Rfam family "Bacterial small subunit ribosomal RNA", at positions 337 to 599 of the family's 1533-position model. The record is from RNAcentral.